UUCUUCCGCAUAGGCGCGCCCCCUCCACUUCGUCUUCUCCACCAAGCACGGCAGCGCACUAUAUUCCUCCCUCCCCCCUGAACUCGUGAAGGGUUCCGCAUCCCAACCUCCUGUAUUCCCUACCGCAGCCUCUCUUCCUCUUCACCUUCUCCACAGAUUCAUGCCCACGCUACUGCUCGAGAGUCGUCGAUUUCUUCCUCCCAUAAUCAUUGACCUUCAUGGUAGGGCGAAUUUGAAGCCUCGGUUGCUGAUGCCCUUCGCUUGCUGGUGUUGUGCCUGUUUGCAGCGGCACACCUGCAGCUCCCGGUGUCGCCUGCCCUCUCUGUCCCAGGUCCCCCGGCAGCCUCUUCCUCAUGGCAUCCAUCGACUCAUCCCCCGCCCAUCCAAUUUUUACAGGGUAUUGUGUUAUAACUAAAAGUGAAACCAACAUGUAUGUCUUUGCAUCGAAGGCAGUCAACUCCUACCAAAGAGGCAAAAACCACAGAGAGGGGAGCUCCUGAUCUACAUCCACGUCAUAGUUUGAUUUUCUUUAAUGUUACAUUUGUUUGUGUCGUUGUUGAAGACAUCAUCUCAUGUAAAAAUAAAAGUUACACGACUCUACCCCUGAUCUGGUGUGGCAGGGGUAUUGUCAUUGAUUUGGGCACGAGGGUUCCCAGGAAGGCAAAGACCGGAAUAAGCGGCAUAACAGGACAACAUGUAAUAUCCAUAUCAAACGGAGUCCAAACGGGAUAAAAACGGACGGAGCUUAUUUUUGGAAU
Triticum aestivum (bread wheat) is the source of this 758-nucleotide long non-coding RNA. RefSeq lists it as uncharacterized. Lineage: Eukaryota; Viridiplantae; Streptophyta; Magnoliopsida; Poales; Poaceae. The transcript has 4 exons. The record is from RefSeq and is a predicted model, not a curated record.